AGGGGGCAUGGAUUGGGAUGAGUUUCAUAUAACUCAGUACGAGAAACAAUAUUUAAGCUAUACAGCUAAAGUUUAUAAUGAUGAUUAACUUUUAAAAUAAAUUGUCAUUUCUCAAAUAAAUAACUUACCUCAGAAGUUCAUCGUAGAAUGAACUUAUUUCAAAUGUUAAGAAAAGACCUUUAUCUUUCUUUAAGGAAACUAUUUGAACAUUAUUAACACACUAAACAGUAGAGGCAGAAAGGAAAGAUAGUCAAAUCAUAAUCAAGCACCA
Molecule: long non-coding RNA, 271 nt
Filed under: Carica papaya (papaya)
Lineage: Eukaryota; Viridiplantae; Streptophyta; Magnoliopsida; Brassicales; Caricaceae
Description: long non-coding RNA (CPAP_LNC010977)
Source: RNAcentral